This is a long non-coding RNA of Pseudoliparis swirei, 264 nucleotides long. RefSeq lists it as uncharacterized. NCBI's taxonomy places the organism in Eukaryota, Metazoa, Chordata, Actinopteri, Perciformes, Liparidae. The transcript has 2 exons. The record is from RefSeq and is a predicted model, not a curated record.
UGAUGGUCCACGUGACGCUGGCUCAGGCACUGCAGGCUGUUACGUUGUGUGACUUACUUGGACAUGAAAGCUCCACUCUCACAGCGUAGCCGACAUGCCUCUGGAAACAGCAGCUCUGGGCUAUGAAGAACAUCCACCAGCACGGAAAACUCCGCCUGAACCUUCGGACUGAACUGCUCCUCCAGAAGGGACACGACCCCCUGCACAUCAGACAGACUCACAUAAGGGCUCAAUAAAAUGCUCUCCUCAUUCUAUCAAAAAUAA